Molecule: long non-coding RNA, 2052 nt
Organism: Equus asinus (donkey)
Lineage: Eukaryota; Metazoa; Chordata; Mammalia; Perissodactyla; Equidae
Source: Ensembl
GUAAUGAGUCUCUUAUUACAAGAAGCAACAUGGAGAUACCCAAACAUUCUGAUAAUUAUCUCCCAGCAUACUUGAGGUUUCAUUUUUAAGUGUCUGAGGUCAUAACCAGAGACAGCCAAGGAUCUGCAGGAUGUUUGACUUGAUUUUACACAGUAUAACAGUGCAUUUGCAUUCUGACCAUUUUGACUACACAGCUCCCAAAUGAUUAGGUCCUUAUCUUUAUAAACUUGUGACAGGAUAAUAAGCUUGAAGACCUGCUAUAGUUAGAUGUAGGCUUUACAUCCUCUUCCCUUGUACCACUUGGCUGGCCAAAGGCACAACACAAAUAUCCUGUUUAGACUCCAGAACAAGCACAUAUUGCCAUCAGGAUUAAGACUUUAUCUAGAUGCCCCCAGAGUUGCCUUUAAUGUAGCUGGUUUAGAGUAUCAGUAGAUUUCAGGUAUAGUUAAACACACAGGUAUGGUGCCUGCAUAUUUUUUAAACCAUAGUUUGUGGCACCUGCUCCUCCAAUUCUGCCUAUUAGAAGCUAUGUAUUUGGAGGGGGUGAAUCAGUGCAGAGUAAAUAAAUCAACACUUUUCCAAGCAGAGGAUCAAUCCAGAUUUGCAUGUUUGUUUGUUUGUUUUAAACAACUCUAAGCCGUGCCAGUAUGAUAUGAAAAUGUGGGUGGAUUCAAAUGUUCCCAGAUUGGAUAUGGGGAAAAUGUAGCAAUAAAAUAAGCCUGACUUACAAUCUUUGCUAUGAUAAAUAGUGAAAUCUAAGCUAUGUGCUGUCCAUAGUGUCAGUGCUGUGGCUGAUUUGAUCAAAACUCAUCUUUGGACUCAGCAGUUACUUGAAACGUCAAAAAUAAGAAAGGAGCUCUCCAGUGCUGAAAACUCACGUUUGGUUUGUAGUGUCACUGUUGUGUCUCCAAGCUCAGUGAGAGAAGAUGGUGGUGGUUGCACGCCAGGCUUCUGGACCCGAGGCCUCACGGGCCCCCAGUAUUGCUGUCAACUGCCUGUACUACACCUUUCCUUUUCUUCAUCUGGCGCGCUCCACUUUGCUGCUCCUGCCCAAGAUCUGGGUUAUGACACUGAAUAUGGUGAGUGGGAGUGUGACCAGUAUUUGCAGUUUGUGUGUGUCUGUUUGUUUUCUUUGUUACAGAAGAAUUUUUAUAGGUUGGGCCUGUCCCCAAGCUCUUUAAAUUGGAUUGCACUUCCCAUUAUUUUUUGAGCUGUGUCUGUUUUGUUGUACUUCCGAGUCUGUGUGUAGAAAGAGAUAGUGUUUGUUUAACCUGGAAAAGCUGCUGGCCUUUCACAACUUCUCUGAAGGUCGAGCCAUUUCCUAAUGCAAAUUCUGGACCUAACUCUGGUCCUGACAGUUCAUUUUUUGAGAAACUUGAGUCUGAAUGUUUUGAGUCCCAGGAAUCUUUGACGUCAGGUGGAGUUACUUUCGUGAGUACGUUUGCUUUUCCCUCCAGAUGGACCCAGUUCUUAACCAUGGUACAUUUGCAUAACACCUCCACCAAAGGAUGAGAAAAUGAUGGGAAAAGAAAGAAGAACUGGUUGCUCAUUUUGUUGUUUCUCCCAGCUUUGCCCCAAAUCCCCAACCUGCUGAAUCUUAAUCUUUGCUGAAGGUGCUGGGAAUCUAAAUUUUAAUAUGUGCUCCAGGUGAUUCUGAUGUGGAUAAUUAGCCAGCCAUACUUUGAGAACCAUUGCCUUAUCUAUUCUUCACAAAAAAAAAUGCCCAUUAGCCAAUGGGUAAUGUGGACAUUAACCACAGGAUCAGAUUCCCCUGCUGCUUGCCUCCCAUAGUGGUCCCCUUUGCAUCCUCUUCAUUAUAUUUAUUUAUGUAUGCAUCUUUUUUCCCCACUAGACUGUGAGCUCCUUGAGGGCCAGGGUUUAUCUUCAUUCACAGUGCCAAGGAUAUGGCCUAGAACAUAGAAGAUGCUCAGUUGUUUGUUGAAUAAAUAAAUGACAUGGAUUUUAGCCAAAACGUUAUCUUGUUGUGUGUGCCUGUAUUUAAAUGCUCUGAAUUUAGGAGAAUCUCUUAACACACAUAGAUCAAGAACUUAC